UACGAAGGGGGCUAGCGUUGCUCGGAAUUACUGGGCGUAAAGGGCGCGUAGGCGGACAGUUUAGUCAGAGGUGAAAGCCCAGGGCUCAACCCUGGAAUUGCCUUUGAUACUGACUGUCUUGAGUACGGGAGAGGUGUGUGGAACUCCGAGUGUAGAGGUGAAAUUCGUAGAUAUUCGGAAGAACACCAGUGGCGAAGGCGACACACUGGCCCGUUACUGACGCUGAGGCGCGAAAGCGUGGGGGAGCAAACAGG
Molecule: ribosomal RNA, 254 nt
Filed under: uncultured bacterium
Lineage: Bacteria
Description: partial 16S ribosomal RNA
Rfam family: Bacterial small subunit ribosomal RNA
Source: RNAcentral